This 468-nucleotide ribosomal RNA is filed under the name uncultured bacterium. Its description in RNAcentral is "partial 16S ribosomal RNA". It matches the Rfam family "Bacterial small subunit ribosomal RNA", at positions 28 to 507 of the family's 1533-position model. The record is from RNAcentral.
GACGAACGCUGGCGGCGUGCUUAACACAUGCAAGUCGAACGGAAAGGCCCUGCUUUUGUGGGGUGCUCGAGUGGCGAACGGGUGAGUAACACGUGAGUAACCUGCCCUUGACUUUGGGAUAACUUCAGGAAACUGGGGCUAAUACCGGAUAGGAGCUCCUGCUGCAUGGUGGGGGUUGGAAAGUUUCGGCGGUUGGGGAUGGACUCGCGGCUUAUCAGCUUGUUGGUGGGGUAGUGGCUUACCAAGGCUUUGACGGGUAGCCGGCCUGAGAGGGUGACCGGCCACAUUGGGACUGGGAUAAGGCCCAGACUCCUACGGGAGGCAGCAGUGGGGAAUAUUGCACAAUGGGCGGAAGCCUGAUGCAGCAACGCCGCGUGCGGGAUGACGGCCUUCGGGUUGUAAACCGCUUUCGCCUGUGACGAAGCGUGAGUGACGGUAAUGGGUAAAGAAGCACCGGCUAACUACGUG